CCCCGCGUGCGCAUGCGCUGCGCUCCUUUUUUUAUGAAUGGGGGGCCGGAAAAGAACUUAACCCGUGAUUGCUGGGGCUGGCUCUCGCUCCUCAAGGGGCCGUCGUUCUUUUACAAAGAGGGGUGGAGGUUGGUUUUCUGUGUUUUUUUUUUUUCUGAAUGAAUGGAGGGCGGCGGCGACUGCUGCAGCUGGCUCAGCUGCGCGGGCUGUACCCCCUCCCAGCCUACAAGAGGAGGUACCUAGUAGAGGACUUGCACCAAGAAAACCAAAGAGUGAAUCGAGUGUGGACCCUAAGAGAAUAACUACAUUGCUCAGAGAAGAGCAAACUGAGGAGUUCAGAAGGUGAUGGAGCUGGAAGUCCCACCUGACUUCUCUGUCUUCUUAGCGCAUGCUUGGAAUCAUGGCACAAUACAAAGACCUAAGAAAACAUAUGUAAGAGGAAGCACUGAAGACAAAUGAUUGCUUUCUAGAGUGUGACGUUUCUUCACAUGCACUGUGAGCAGACCCCGGCCUUCGUUUUAGGGAUUUCUGGACUCGUGUUCUGACCACCAAGCACCACUGUUUCUCUUCGGGGUUUGGACUGUCAGAGUCCAUUUCUCAGGUUCCAGAACAACACGCAGACACAAAGGGAAGUCUCGAGGCCCAAAUACCACCGCCACGCCCACCGUCCAGGUCCUCUGCUAGCACUGCCGGGUAGCACCUGCGAUAUUUUCCCACAUGAGUUCUGUCAUCUCUUAUGUCAGUUGGAGCCAGCAGCUCUCAAAUCAGUCUUCUAGCAUCCAGGAAUGUGUCGCAACACUCUCGGACUGGCGGAGAGACACCUGAGCAGAACAACUUCCAGUAACCGAAGACACUGAUGAUCAAAUGGUACAUGUGGGCAGUUACAGAUUUUUGCAAAAGGAAGGCUACAUAAAUUUAAGAUAAGAAGCUUUCCUCUUCAUACCCAUCCACCAUGUUUCUGCCUUGGAGCCAUCCAAACCUCUGAAAUGGUAAGCCCAGACAAGCCUUUUCUUCUUUAGUUGUGUAUGUCAGGUAUUUUGUCCUAGUAACAGAAAGGUGACAAUUAUAGCAACUGAAAGGCAAAGCGGUGACCAGGAAGAAAUGAGAUGCCAGUGUCAGCCAAAGGAAGAAGGAAGGAGAGAGAUUGUCAUAGGAAGUGAAGGUCUUCUAUGCAGGAAUUGGUUAAGAGGAGAUUUAUUUAAAGGUACUAUUUCCUUAGCUACAUGUUUGAGAAGAGAUUGAUUAUUGGCUAAUGGACCAUGUUAAUAUUAAAUGCUUUACUGAGUCACAACCACAUUCAAAGCAUUGAGACUGCAAAUGGAAGGAGUUUGUCACUUGGUUGCUGUGUGAUAUCUUUCCUCUGUGAACCUUCACAUAUACACCUGUUUAGAAAAAGAUGACAAAGAUGACUGAACAGGAUGCUUUGUCCCCAAGAUCUCUGAGGCUCCAUAGAGGCUGUAGAAGUAUGUUCUUUCUAGGCUGGAUCCCUGUAGGGUUGGGCAGUUGUUUUAACUUCCUGCCUCUCAAUCUUAUUUCUACCAGAUAGGAUGAUUUUAUCUGCAAAUUGAUAGAAAAACUAACUGAAGCCAAUUUAAGCA
Non-coding RNA from Heterocephalus glaber (naked mole-rat), 1598 nucleotides. The record is from RefSeq and is a predicted model, not a curated record. NCBI's taxonomy places the organism in Eukaryota, Metazoa, Chordata, Mammalia, Rodentia, Bathyergidae.